Molecule: ribosomal RNA, 484 nt
Filed under: uncultured bacterium
Lineage: Bacteria
Description: partial 16S ribosomal RNA
Rfam family: Bacterial small subunit ribosomal RNA
Source: RNAcentral
AUUGAACGCUGGCGGAAUGCUUUACACAUGCAAGUCGAACGGCAGCACGGGGGCAGCCCUGGUGGCGAGUGGCGAACGGGUGAGUAAUACAUCGGAACGUGCCCGGUCGUGGGGGAUAACGUAGCGAAAGUUACGCUAAUACCGCAUACGAUCUGAGGAUGAAAGCGGGGGACCUUCGGGCCUCGCGCGAUCGGAGCGGCCGAUGUCAGAUUAGGUAGUUGGUGGGGUAAAGGCCUACCAAGCCGACGAUCUGUAGCUGGUCUGAGAGGACGACCAGCCACACUGGGACUGAGACACGGCCCAGACUCCUACGGGAGGCAGCAGUGGGGAAUUUUGGACAAUGGGCGCAAGCCUGAUCCAGCCAUUCCGCGUGCAGGACGAAGGCCUUCGGGUUGUAAACUGCUUUUGUAUGGAACGAAAAGGCUCUGGCUAAUACCUGGGGCUCAUGACGGUACCGUAAGAAUAAGCACCGGCUAACUACGUG